UCGCCUGUUUAUCAAAAACAUAGUUUAAUGGUUAUAAUAUUAAAUUAAUCCUGCCCAGUGAUUUUUUUUUAACGGCCGCAGUACCUUGACUGUGCUAAGGUAGCAUAAUCAAUUGGCUUUUAAUUAAGGUCUGGAAUGAACGGAUUUAUGAAAAUAAUACUGUCUUUAUAAUAUUUUUGUUAACUUAUUUAUCAGGUGAAAAUACCUGUAUUCAAACAAAAGACGAGAAGACCCUUAGAGUUUUUUAUAAUACCUUUUUUGUUUUGUUUUUGUUGGGGCGACAAGUAAUCAUUCAAACAUUACGUAUAAAUUUUGAUUCGAGUUUUUUAAAGAAAAUUAAACUACCUUAGGGAUAACAGCUUUAUAUAUUUAUAUGUUUGUGACCUCGAUGUUGGACUAGGAACUAUAUGGCUAGCAGUCAAAAUAGAUUGUCGUCGAACAAUUGCCGC
Molecule: ribosomal RNA, 449 nt
Filed under: Planorbella trivolvis
Lineage: Eukaryota; Metazoa; Mollusca; Gastropoda; Planorbidae
Description: partial 16S ribosomal RNA
Rfam family: Bacterial large subunit ribosomal RNA (bases 1-165)
Source: RNAcentral